RNAcentral lists this ribosomal RNA (370 nucleotides) under uncultured prokaryote. Its description in RNAcentral is "bacterial SSU rRNA". It matches the Rfam family "Bacterial small subunit ribosomal RNA", at positions 524 to 896 of the family's 1533-position model. The record is from RNAcentral.
UACGGAGGGUGCAAGCGUUAUCCGGAUUCACUGGGUUUAAAGGGUGCGUAGGCGGGUAGGUAAGUCAGUGGUGAAAUCCUGGAGCUCAACUCCAGAACUGCCAUUGAUACUAUCUAUCUUGAAUAUUGUGGAGGUAAGCGGAAUAUGUCAUGUAGCGGUGAAAUGCUUAGAUAUGACAUAGAACACCCAUUGCGAAGGCAGCUUACUACGCAUAUAUUGACGCUGAGGCACGAAAGCGUGGGGAUCAAACAGGAUUAGAUACCCUGGUAGUCCACGCCCUAAACGAUGGAUACUCGACAUACGCGAUACACUGUGUGUGUCUGAGCGAAAGCAUUAAGUAUCCCACCUGGGAAGUACGUUCGCAAGAAUG